AGCGAACGCUGGCGGCAGGCUUAACACAUGCAAGUCGAGCGGGCACUUUCGGGUGUCAGCGGCGGACGGGUGAGUAACGCGUGGGAACGUGCCCUCUGGUUCGGAAUAACUCAGGGAAACUUGAGCUAAUACCGGAUACGCCCUUUUGGGGAAAGGCUUGCUGCCGGAGGAUCGGCCCGCGUCUGAUUAGCUAGUUGGUGAGGUUACGGCUCACCAAGGCGACGAUCAGUAGCUGGUCUGAGAGGAAGAUCAGCCACACUGGGACUGAGACACGGCCGAGACUCCUACGGGAGGCAGCAGUGGGGAAUAUUGGACAAUGGGCGCAGGGCUGAACCACCCAGGGCGGGUGAGUGAUGAAGGCCUGAGGGAUGUAAAGCUCUUUUAUCCGGGACGAUAAUGACGGUACCGGAGGAAUAAGCCCCGGCUAACUUCGUG
RNAcentral lists this ribosomal RNA (435 nucleotides) under uncultured bacterium. RNAcentral describes it as "partial 16S ribosomal RNA". It matches the Rfam family "Bacterial small subunit ribosomal RNA", at positions 29 to 507 of the family's 1533-position model. The record is from RNAcentral.